Molecule: transfer RNA, 74 nt
Filed under: Astyanax mexicanus (Mexican tetra)
Lineage: Eukaryota; Metazoa; Chordata; Actinopteri; Characiformes; Acestrorhamphidae
Rfam family: tRNA
About the family: Transfer RNA (tRNA) molecules are approximately 80 nucleotides in length. Their secondary structure includes four short double-helical elements and three loops (D, anti-codon, and T loops). Further hydrogen bonds mediate the characteristic L-shaped molecular structure. tRNAs have two regions of fundamental functional importance: the anti-codon, which is responsible for specific mRNA codon recognition, and the 3' end, to which the tRNAs corresponding amino acid is attached (by aminoacyl-tRNA synthetases). tRNAs cope with the degeneracy of the genetic code in two manners: having more than one tRNA (with a specific anti-codon) for a particular amino acid; and 'wobble' base-pairing, i.e. permitting non-standard base-pairing at the 3rd anti-codon position.
Source: Rfam by way of RNAcentral
GGCUCGUUGGUCUAGGGGUAGUGAUUCUCGCUUCGGGUUGCGAGAGGUCCCGGGUUCAAAUCCCGGACGAGCCC